AUAGAUGAAGCAAUUUUGCAUUUAGUUUCGACCUAAUUUUUAGUUUUAUAAAAACUCUUCUAUU
RNAcentral lists this transfer RNA (64 nucleotides) under Dypsocus coleoptratus. RNAcentral describes it as "tRNA-Arg". The record is from RNAcentral. Lineage: Eukaryota; Metazoa; Arthropoda; Insecta; Psocodea; Caeciliusidae.